ACAGGCUCAUGCUGUGCAUGGUCAUAGGAAGAUGUCACCUAUAGAUAGCAACCUAACAACACCCAUACGAGUGUAAAGGAGGGUCCAGGUCUUAUAGCCUCAGGGGGUUCAGGAAACAGAGACAACUCCUGUUCAUUCCUGACUGACCUUGGGCAAACCGCAUACACACAGCUCCAUUGGAGGUGUCUGGAUGUCUACCUCACACCGAGGUGAACAAGUUUGUGCCCUACCAGGAAAACGCAGAUGUUUGCUUUCCUGAACAGACUACCCUCCUGGACUAGUUCCAGGGCUGGCUUUGAAGAAAUCUUUCACAGAAAAGCUUUCGCAAAAAAUCAUCGUGACCAGGAUCUGCAUGGAAUGAAUUCCCUCUGUAAGCAUAUGGGCUAUUUCCAGAAGAUCCUGAGCAAUUCACUUGGCCAGUGAGGAAAAACAAAUGUAGUUUCUUCCGUGCAAGAACUUUGAUGAAGAAAAACGUCACCUACUAGUCAGCUUUUCUUUGUAAGCUGUUUAUCCAAAAUCAAUCUCUAUCACAAUUUUCUAGUUAUCAUGUUCUAUUAACUGUGUGUUAGGGUAGGACAAAUUUACAUCUUACAUAUAUCUAAGAGAUAUAUCUGCAUAAUGAACACUUGAUAUUCCUAUGUUGUGGCAAAGAAACUUAACCUUUAAUACGAGCUCUGUCAGACUUUUCUCUAGUGUUUCAUAGUAUGGAUCACCUGGGAGCCCAGACUGAUUUCUAAAAAGCUGCAGUAGCAAAUAUGAAUUCUCUGAAAUGAGUCAGGACCAUACCUUCAGACUAAAUCCAGGGAACUAUGAAAUCCAGUAGCACCUUCAGCACCUUCAGUGCUUACCUGAGAGUACCUUUCAAAGUUUAGUCUUUGCCUGACCAGUCAAUGUGCAAAACCUAGCAAGAGGGAGAGAAAUGCUAGCAAUUCAUGAAGCCUGUCUGUCUCUAUACUUCUUCUCAUCAAAUAUAAGCAGCAGAAUCACCCAUAUUCCUCAGAAGAAAAAAAAAAAUUAAAAUGCUAUCUGAACUUAAGAGGAAAACAUUAAGAUGCCUCCACUGGCAGAAAAGCUGCACUGGGAUCUCAGCAGUCCUCUUCCUAAAAUAGAGAAAGGUCUGUCACCACCCCUUAGAGUAUUCUCAGGCUGGUCAGGCAGUAAACAUACAUAUAGCACAGAAUCAGAGCAUACAUACUUCCUUGUCCAUUUAAUUGUCAGGGCCAACCACACACAUGUAAGGGACAGAAGAUAUUGAGGGAGAGGGAAAAAGGAGCAGGGAACGGAAGAGAAAAGGGACUAUAUCUGUGGUCACGGAUGCUGAGAAGGGCAUAUCAAGCAAAAUGCAGAAAAUUGUGUCAUUUGUCCCAAUUAUGAGACUACUCGGGAUUUAAUGACAACAUUUUUCACGCACUUUUUCUUGUGUUUUUGAAGUCUGACUCCCUUAGUGCUAGAGAUCUAACUACUUAACUACUUUACAUAACUGAUGGAAGGAAAAAACCCACAUAUUAACAUAGUAGAACACUCUUAAUAUUAACCAACAAUAGCUUUUCCAUACAGCAGUUCAAUACACAGCAGUCCAGUUGCAGUUCUAGGGUAUACUUCUCUGUGACUACGUAUAACAAAUGCCUUAGAGAUUCUCAGCUCACCUGUAGAAUAAAAGUCUACAUUACCUGAUAGGCUAAAAUGGACACCAGAAAUUUAACAUAGAUUGUGGCAGAGUAUUGUUUUAUCCUACCCAUUAAAGGAUGAUAUUCCAUAUUUAUAGAAAAAAAUGUUUUACUGUGAGAAGAUGGCAUUUGCAGGGUAUAUAUACCUGAGUUUCCUCGACUUUCAGUACAGAAUAGCCAAAAGCAAGCCACUCCAAACAAGUGCUGAUAAACUAUAAGCAAUAAUGUGUUCCUAGUGUCUACAUGUAUGGUCUAUAGAGAUACAUAUGUCAGUGAAAAUAUGAACUCUGAGUUUAAGAAACAGAAAGUUAAAAGUUUUUCUUCUUUGUCCUGGAAACCAAAUGUUUAGAAUUCUGUGAGUCUAGUAACAAAUGUUUGAAAUAGAAGCAUGUCACAGUUUCAUACAGAAUUUUUUUACAAGACAGUAUCUUAUAUUUAAUAAAGGUUAGAGUAGGUGCUGCAUCCAUAUUAGAACUGGAAAAGUAGUAACUGUAUAUUAAUUUCUGACAAUGUAUUAGGUAACAAUGUUUGUGCAGUAAGAUCUGAGAAUGUGUUAGGUAACAUCUGUGUGGUAACAUCAGUACAGAUGCUUCCACUGAGUUGAGCAGGAUACUUGGAGUGUAAAUUGUCAAGGAAAUCCCAAAAAUCUAGAUGGUCAGAUGUUUGAAUGUUGGUAUAUUGCAAGUGUGUAUGUCCUUUAAAAUAGAAUAUAAUUAUCUGGAAUUAUACUGUUUGACAGGUUGAACACUUUCCUAAAUGCAUGAACUUUGUGUAAAGUAAAAAAAAAAAAAAAAUUAAAAUU
Myiozetetes cayanensis is the source of this 2469-nucleotide long non-coding RNA. RefSeq lists it as uncharacterized. Lineage: Eukaryota; Metazoa; Chordata; Aves; Passeriformes; Tyrannidae. The record is from RefSeq and is a predicted model, not a curated record. The transcript is spliced from 3 exons.